CACCAAUGAUGACUUGUGUUGUGUGCCACGUGUCUGGGCCACUGAAUGUUCAAAAUAAAGGACACUUUAAUCACUGUUG
Molecule: small nucleolar RNA, 79 nt
Organism: Perca flavescens (yellow perch)
Lineage: Eukaryota; Metazoa; Chordata; Actinopteri; Perciformes; Percidae
Product: small nucleolar RNA SNORD66
Exons: 1
Source: RefSeq, a predicted model, not a curated record